Octodon degus (degu) is the source of this 398-nucleotide long non-coding RNA. RefSeq lists it as uncharacterized. The transcript is spliced from 2 exons. Lineage: Eukaryota; Metazoa; Chordata; Mammalia; Rodentia; Octodontidae. The record is from RefSeq and is a predicted model, not a curated record.
GAUGGCUGCCGGAGCGGCAUUGUGGGAAAUGUAGUUCGUGACCAGGCCCCGCGUGGCCGCCCUGCACUCGGUGGAGCCGGCCAGAGAGCACACUUGUGUGGGGGCUUCCUUCCCCAGCCGGCCUGGCCACACCCUGAAAACAGCGCGUAUGGGGAGGAAACUCCGACUCUUAAGAACUGGGGAGUUUGGGAGCUGGGACUCAGGAUGAUGAAGGUGGUGAGCCCAGUCACAGGAGGAAAGCUGUGUGGACUUUGUUGACUCCCAGGCUUUGAUCUGCCCGUCCCCCUACAAACCUUCCAAUGUCAGGAAAUCACCUGAGCCCUGCAGAAAUCCAGCACCUUGAAUUGUCAGAUUCUUAGCAGGCGCUCUACAGUUUGAAAUAAAUGAGGGAAAGAAAG